GACGAACGCUGGCGGCGUGCUUAACACAUGCAAGUCGAACGGAAAGGCCCUGCUUUUGUGGGGUGCUCGAGUGGCGAACGGGUGAGUAACACGUGAGUAACCUGCCCUUGACUUUGGGAUAACUUCAGGAAACUGGGGCUAAUACCGGAUAGGAGCUCCUGCUGCAUGGUGGGGGUUGGAAAGUUUCGGCGGUUGGGGAUGGACUCGCGGCUUAUCAGCUUGUUGGUGGGGGAGUGGCUUACCAAGGCUUUGACGGGUAGCCGGCCUGAGAGGGUGACCGGCCACAUUGGGACUGAGAUACGGCCCAGACUCCUACGGUAGACAGCAGUGGGGAAUAUUGCACAAUGGGCGGAAGCCUGAUGCAGCAACGCCGCGUGCGGGAAGACGGCCUGCGGGUUGUAAACCGCUUUCGCCUGUGACGAAGCGUGAGUGACGGUAAUGGAUAAAGAAGCACCGGCUAACUACGUG
RNAcentral lists this ribosomal RNA (468 nucleotides) under uncultured bacterium. RNAcentral describes it as "partial 16S ribosomal RNA". It matches the Rfam family "Bacterial small subunit ribosomal RNA", at positions 28 to 507 of the family's 1533-position model. The record is from RNAcentral.